RNAcentral lists this unclassified non-coding RNA (377 nucleotides) under Hevea brasiliensis (rubber tree). Lineage: Eukaryota; Viridiplantae; Streptophyta; Magnoliopsida; Malpighiales; Euphorbiaceae. The record is from RNAcentral.
AUUUCUUCCAUUGACACAUUUAAUCUUUUUUCAUACAACAUUAAGACCAUCCUAGAAUGUUUCUUGUUUCCAAGCCCCUUAAUGGAGACAAUUACACAACAUGGUGUCACUUAAUUGGGAUCACUGUAACACCGUAUUCCUUACUGUAGAUUUCCUUCUCUUGCUUCCCCAGAACAGUGGAGUUUAGCCAAUUGGAGCUUUAAAAACCAUCAACCUGAUUCUCAAUAUUAACAUCUGCAAAACUGGCUGCAAAAUACCAACUCCCAGAUACCACCUUUCCAUUCAUUUAAUCCAUAAUCACAAGCUCCUCCUAGAAUCAUAAUAAUCAUAAUCAAUCAUAACUUCACUUUCCCAAAUUAAAUAUCCAAUAAAAAUUC